RNAcentral lists this ribosomal RNA (739 nucleotides) under uncultured bacterium. Its description in RNAcentral is "bacterial SSU rRNA". It matches the Rfam family "Bacterial small subunit ribosomal RNA", at positions 51 to 755 of the family's 1533-position model. The record is from RNAcentral.
CUAUAAUGCAGUCGAACGAACUCUGGUAUUGAUUGGUGCUUGCAUCAUGAUUUACAUUUGAGUGAGUGGCGAACUGGUGAGUAACACGUGGGAAACCUGCCCAGAAGCGGGGGAUAACACCUGGAAACAGAUGCUAAUACCGCAUAACAACUUGGACCGCAUGGUCCGAGUUUGAAAGAUGGCUUCGGCUAUCACUUUUGGAUGGUCCCGCGGCGUAUUAGCUAGAUGGUGGGGUAACGGCUCACCAUGGCAAUGAUACGUAGCCGACCUGAGAGGGUAAUCGGCCACAUUGGGACUGAGACACGGCCCAAACUCCUACGGGAGGCAGCAGUAGGGAAUCUUCCACAAUGGACGAAAGUCUGAUGGAGCAACGCCGCGUGAGUGAAGAAGGGUUUCGGCUCGUAAAACUCUGUUGUUAAAGAGGAACAUAUCUGAGAGUAACUGUUCAGGUAUUGACGGUAUUUAACCAGAAAGCCACGGCUAACUACGUGCCAGCAGCCGCGGUAAUACGUAGGUGGCAAGCGUUGUCCGGAUUUAUUGGGCGUAAAGCGAGCGCAGGCGGUUUUUUAAGUCUGAUGUGAAAGCCUUCGGCUCAACCGAAGAAGUGCAUCGGAAACUGGGAAACUUGAGUGCAGAAGAGGACAGUGGAACUCCAUGUGUAGCGGUGAAAUGCGUAGAUAUAUGGAAGAACACCAGUGGCGAAGGCGGCUGUCUGGUCUGUAACUGACGCUGAGGCUCG